RNAcentral lists this transfer RNA (66 nucleotides) under Aphis craccivora (cowpea aphid). RNAcentral describes it as "tRNA-Phe". The record is from RNAcentral. Lineage: Eukaryota; Metazoa; Arthropoda; Insecta; Hemiptera; Aphididae.
AUUUAAAUAGCUUAAAAUAGAGUAUUAUAUUGAAGAUAUAAGGGUAAAUUAAUUUUUUUUUAAAUA